GACGAACGCUGGCGGCGUGCUUAAUACAUGCAAGUCGAACGGAAAGGCUCUGCUUUUGUGGGGUGCUCGAUUGGCGAACGGGUGAGUAACACGUGAGUAACCUGCCCUUGACUUUGGGAUAACUUCAGGUAACUGGGGCUAAUACCGGAUAGGAGCUCCUGCUGCAUGGUGGGGGUUGGAAAGUUUCGGCGGUUGGGGAUGGACUCGCGGCUUAUCAGCUUGUUGGUGGGGUAGUUGCUUACCAAGGCUUUGACGGGUAGCCGGCCUGAGAGGGUGACCGGCCACAUUGGGACUGAGAUACGGCCCAGACUGCUACGGGAGGCAGCAGUGGGAAAUAUUGCGCAAUGGGCGGAAGCCUGAAACAGCAGCGCCGCGUGCGGGAUGACGGCCUUCGGGUUGUAAACCGCUUUCGCCUGUGACGAAGCGUGAGUGACGGUAAUGGGUAAAGAAGCAACGGCUAACUACGUG
Molecule: ribosomal RNA, 468 nt
Filed under: uncultured bacterium
Lineage: Bacteria
Description: partial 16S ribosomal RNA
Rfam family: Bacterial small subunit ribosomal RNA
Source: RNAcentral